GUGGCCCUGGCCGAAGGUUUCCUCCUGAGUCAGGCAGAGGAGAGGAAGCAGGAAAAUGAUCUGUCUGCAGAAACGGGUCCUGAUUCCUCUGAGGCAGAGAGGACUUUGUUGGACACCAGAGAGAGGCUGCUGGGUGAAAGAAGGAUGCCGGCAAGACCUCCUCCUCCAUCUCUUCAUCCUGGUGGAGG
This is a non-coding RNA of Podarcis muralis (Common wall lizard), 188 nucleotides long. NCBI's taxonomy places the organism in Eukaryota, Metazoa, Chordata, Lepidosauria, Squamata, Lacertidae. The record is from RefSeq and is a predicted model, not a curated record.